AGUGAACGCUGGCGGUAGGCCUAACACAUGCAAGUCGAACGGCAGCACAGGAGAGCUUGCUCUCUGGGUGGCGAGUGGCGGACGGGUGAGGAAUACAUCGGAAUCUACUCUGUCGUGGGGGAUAACGUAGGGAAACUUACGCUAAUACCGCAUGCGACCUACGGGUGAAAGCAGGGGACCUUCGGGCCUUGCGCGAUUGAAUGAGCCGAUGUCGGAUUAGCUAGUUGGCGGGGUAAAGGCCCACCAAGGCGACGGUCCGUAGCUGGUCGGGGAGGAUGGUCAGACACACUGGAACGGAGACACGGUCCAGACUCCUACAGGAGGCAGCAGUGGGGAAUAUUGGACAAUGGGCGCAAGCCUGAUCCAGCCAUACCGCGGGGGUGAAGAAGGCCUUCGGGUUGUAAAGCCCUUUUGUUGGGAAAGAAAUCCAGCUGGCUAAUACCCGGUUGGGAUGACGGUACCCAAAGAAUAAGCACCGGCUAACUUCGUGCCAGCCGCCGCCGCAG
Molecule: ribosomal RNA, 506 nt
Filed under: uncultured bacterium
Lineage: Bacteria
Description: partial 16S ribosomal RNA
Rfam family: Bacterial small subunit ribosomal RNA
Source: RNAcentral